This 72-nucleotide transfer RNA is filed under the name Camelus bactrianus (Bactrian camel). It matches the Rfam family "tRNA". From Rfam's summary of the family: Transfer RNA (tRNA) molecules are approximately 80 nucleotides in length. Their secondary structure includes four short double-helical elements and three loops (D, anti-codon, and T loops). Further hydrogen bonds mediate the characteristic L-shaped molecular structure. tRNAs have two regions of fundamental functional importance: the anti-codon, which is responsible for specific mRNA codon recognition, and the 3' end, to which the tRNAs corresponding amino acid is attached (by aminoacyl-tRNA synthetases). tRNAs cope with the degeneracy of the genetic code in two manners: having more than one tRNA (with a specific anti-codon) for a particular amino acid; and 'wobble' base-pairing, i.e. permitting non-standard base-pairing at the 3rd anti-codon position. RNAcentral also lists the same sequence under 2 other names. Lineage: Eukaryota; Metazoa; Chordata; Mammalia; Artiodactyla; Camelidae. The record is from Rfam by way of RNAcentral.
GAGGGUAUAGCUCCUGGGUAGAGCACAUGCUUAGCAUGCACGAGCUUCUGGGUUCAAUCCCCAGUACUUCCA